GUGUUCGUAAAAAAGAGAGAUGGUUGGCAUCUUCCCCCACAGACUAUGGUUUUAUCUGUUACCACAUAUUCGUUCAAGGCAUUCGACCUCUCUGAGAUUAGUAAAAGGAUGUACUUAUUC
Molecule: non-coding RNA, 120 nt
Filed under: Solanum lycopersicum (tomato)
Lineage: Eukaryota; Viridiplantae; Streptophyta; Magnoliopsida; Solanales; Solanaceae
Source: RNAcentral